AACGUAGGAGGCUAGCGUUAUCCGGAUUCACUGGGCGUAAAGCGCGUGUAGGUGGCUCGCUAAGUCGAAUGUGAAAGCCCCCGGCUUAACUGGGGGAGGUCAUUUGAUACUGGUGGGCUUGAGGACAAGAGAGGAGAGUGGAAUUCCCGGUGUAGCGGUGGAAUGCGUAGAGAUCGGGAGGAACACCAGUGGCGAAAGCGGCUCUCUGGCUUGUCCCUGACACUGAGACGCGAAAGCGUGGGGAGCAAACGGG
RNAcentral lists this ribosomal RNA (253 nucleotides) under uncultured bacterium. Its description in RNAcentral is "partial 16S ribosomal RNA". It matches the Rfam family "Bacterial small subunit ribosomal RNA", at positions 524 to 776 of the family's 1533-position model. The record is from RNAcentral.